Mustela erminea (ermine) is the source of this 1007-nucleotide long non-coding RNA. RefSeq lists it as uncharacterized. The transcript is spliced from 2 exons. NCBI's taxonomy places the organism in Eukaryota, Metazoa, Chordata, Mammalia, Carnivora, Mustelidae. The record is from RefSeq and is a predicted model, not a curated record.
UCGGGCCGCCGCCCCCGGCCCUGGCCCGGUCCCCGCGGCCGCCGCGGCUGCCGUGACGGGGCAGGGGGGCACCGGGCCGCCCCGCGCCGCAUCCUGGACGCCUUCCUCUCAGCGCCGCCGCCGCCAGCCGAGAGCUCCGCGACAGAAGCGAGCUUGGAGAAGGGCGGAAUACGCGGAGGAGAGCCCCCACCGCGACCCCCUCCCGCCGCGCCUGCGCAGGCGCCGUCGGGGAGGGGGCGGGCGCCUGGCGGAAAGGAUGACGUGAUGCUCUUCGGGCCCGGAGGGCCGCAGCUUCCCAGGCGGCCGCCGCAACGCGGCCAUCCACUGCCCGGUCGCCCGCAACCGCCACCCCCUCGAGGCUGCGACUCCUUUUGAGAGGAUAAGGAGGUUGAGGAGACUUUUGAGAGUUUGGGUGAAUGGCCUUAUUUGUGCUGCUGCCAGCCCUCUCUUUUAGACUGUGAACGUAGUGGCCUCACUAUUCCCAUCAACUUGAGGGCCAAGAACUUCCUGGGAAAGGCCAGAUGGCCCAAUGAGGGACAUGAAAGGCCCUUGGACAAGAUCCCAAAAGGAAGAUAUAUUUAACCGUGGCUUAACUCUCAAAAAUUUCUUUGGGGUGAUGGAACUGUAAUGUAUCUUGAUUGUGGUGGUGGUUACACAAUUGUUUGUAUUUUAUAUCUCACAGAACCACACACUAAAAAGAGUGAAUUUUACUAUCUGUAGAUAAUACCAUAAUAAAAAAUGAGAAAAUGUCUAUAGAAUUGAUAAUUGAAUAUUUUAGCAUUUUGUCCUACUGAUUGUAAACAAAAACAUAGAGUCAUACUAUCAAUCUCCAAGUUCUAUCAAUCUGCCUUUAGUGUGACAGACAGAAAAAUCAUACCAGAAUUAUUGUAGAGAAAAUGGUAUUUAAUUAUUAGAUGAUUAAAUUUAUAAUAAUGAUACUGAUAGAAUUCAAACAGCACAUCAAGAAUUAACUGUAAUCAAAAUAAACUGAAUUUCUAAAGUUCAGA